Molecule: long non-coding RNA, 1360 nt
Filed under: Mustela putorius furo (domestic ferret)
Lineage: Eukaryota; Metazoa; Chordata; Mammalia; Carnivora; Mustelidae
Description: lncRNA (ENSMPUG00000024383.1)
Source: RNAcentral
CUGAGCAAAGCAGGGGCAGAAAGGCGCAAUGCUGGAUAAUAUUCCAGAACUCCUGCCAGGUUGGCUGAAGCUUUGUUUGGCCUAUAUCACAGUUUGUCUUCUCCCUUUUCCCAAACCCUGUUUCUCUUCUCUUGCAGAUAUUGAUCUCUAACAAACACCUUGCACCCCAAACUCCAGCUCGGCAUGUUUCUAAAGAACCCUGCCUGCCAUAGCUGCAGCCAAGAGCUGGAUUACUCAUAACCUGGCUGCUAAUAAGGACCCCUUCACUGGUGGCAGAUGGAGCACAGCAGCCGCUGGCACAAGGUGAUGGUCCAAUUGCUCACUGGUGGUGAGUUGUAAGGGUAAACCAGUGGAGGGAAAUGCACUAAUUGGUGCUCUGUAACUCCUGUCUGAGAAGUACACAGGAAAUGACAGCAUUGCCAAACUGCACUGAUGCCUUGCAAAAAGACAGUGAGCAGCUGAGGGCCAGUAAGUAGACAAUUAAAAAAGCGUCUUGGGGUGCCUCGGUGGCUCAGUGGGUUAGGCAUCGGACUCUUGGUUUCAGCUCAUGUCAUGAUCUCAUGGGUGGUAGGAUCACGCCUCACAUGGGGCCCUGAGCUGAGUGUGGAGCCUGCUAGAGAUUCUCUCCCUCUGCCCCCACCCUUUCAUUCCCUUGCUGGGGUAAAUAAAUAAAUCUUUUUUAAAAGGGGGGGGGGUUCUGGAAAUCAAAAGGCCUCUCUGUUUAUAUACAAAUAAGCUCAUCCCCCUUACUAGGACGCAGAGGAAGUUGAGGAUCAAGUUAAAGUGCAACAAUAUCAGGUCAGUUAUGCUAAGCUCAGUAUGCUGGGGGAAAAAAACUGGGCAGCUGAUUCAGGGAUGGAGAUGCUGGAUGGAUGCCUCUGAAGAUUUUGACUCCCCAGAGUCCCCUGAACCUUCUGAGCCUGUAGAAGUGCUCCACUCCUCCCUACUGAAAGAAGAUGUUGCUGCGGCUGAGGUCGAAGAGGUUGCUGCCUGUGUUCUUCUCAAGGAUUUUGAUGGAUUCCUUUCGCACAUUGAGGUCCUUCAUCCAUUUUGAGUCUAUUUUCAUGUGUGGUGUAAGGAAGUGGUCCAAUUUCAUUUUUCUGCAUGUGGCUGUCCAGUUUUCCCAACACCAUUUAUUGAAGAGGCUGUCUUUUUUCCAUUAAAAAAAAAAAAAAAAAGAAGAAGAAAUAGAAAUAAACCACCAUUUUGCACCAAAGACGUCUCAAGAAUUAUUUCUUGGUUGUCAGCUUGGGACUUCACCCCACUGAAUCUCACUUACAUUCUAAAACUUCAUCACUGAGAUAUGGGCAGUGCAUGAACUGGAUAUUGGAGAUAAGUUAUUGAAAAGCCAGCAUUUACU